AUUCGAAAGACUAUUGGGGGGCAUUGUUGAUGCCAAAAUUGAAAUUAAUAUGCCGAUCUAACCCACGUAUGAGCCAAUAAGGACACAUGGUACACCAGGAGUCGGUAGUAAAGCGCCUGAAGGUUUUAGGCGGGAACGGUUAAGAAGUAGGCAUAACUUCCACGAUGGAGCGUAACUUCCAUGAGGAGUGGGCGUAACUUCCACGAUCAUGGUUACAACCACUCCCCCCAGGCCCCCACUACUUUCAACCGACCAAUAAUGUGGGCUGAGAAGAUAUCACUAUAAAUAGUAACUUCAAAGCCUGUAAUAGAGGUCUUUCUCCAUCCUGAACAAGAAGACCACCCUUAUUUCCUCUGCAUUUUUGUCGCUUUUCUAGGAGUAGUCUAAAUGUAAUCUUUUUCUUUUCCGCAUUUACUGCUUUUCUACGAGUAGUUCGCUAAGUAGAACCCUGGAGUCUGUCUGCCCCACGGGCAUCACUCCGUUGUAAACUACAUUUGCAGAGUCUGUCUGCCCUACGGGCAUCACUCUGUUGUAAACUAUAUUUCUGAGUCUGUAUACCCUUCGGGCACACUCUUUUAUAUUAUUAUAUAAAGGCUUUCGGCUCUUUCAGCCGACCAGUCAUUGUGUACUUCUUCCAUUCGGCUUUUUCAGCCGACCAGUCAUUGUGUACUUCUUCCAUUCGGCUCUUUCAGCCGACCAGUUACUGUGUACUUCUUCGAUUCGGCACUUCUGCCGACAUUGAUCUCUGCACAGUUCGUACAUUUGGCUCUUCCAGCUGAACCAGUUUUAUAGUGAAGGUUUUCGAAUCCGGCUGAUUUGAUCCCUCAUCAGCCGAAUCGCUUGAUCCAGUUGAAGGGCGCAAACUUCGAGGGUCACUAUCCGCAGCCGUUUUUCACUCCGACGCGCUUUCCGAGGAGGAUUUUU
Molecule: long non-coding RNA, 924 nt
Filed under: Ananas comosus (pineapple)
Lineage: Eukaryota; Viridiplantae; Streptophyta; Magnoliopsida; Poales; Bromeliaceae
Description: long non-coding RNA (ACOM_LNC027131)
Source: RNAcentral